RNAcentral lists this ribosomal RNA (482 nucleotides) under uncultured bacterium. RNAcentral's name for it is "partial 16S ribosomal RNA". It matches the Rfam family "Bacterial small subunit ribosomal RNA", at positions 30 to 507 of the family's 1533-position model. The record is from RNAcentral.
AUUGAACGCUGGCGGCAUGCCUUACACAUGCAAGUCGAACGGUAACGGGCCUUCGGGUGCCGACGAGUGGCGAACGGGUGAGUAAUACAUCGGAACGUGCCCGAUCGUGGGGGAUAACGAGGCGAAAGCUUUGCUAAUACCGCAUACGAACUACGGAUGAAAGCAGGGGACCGCAAGGCCUUGCGCGGACGGAGCGGCCGAUGGCAGAUUAGGUAGUUGGUGGGAUAAAAGCUUACCAAGCCGACGAUCUGUAGCUGGUCUGAGAGGAUGAUCAGCCACACUGGGACUGAGACACGGCCCAGACUCCUACGGGAGGCAGCAGUGGGGAAUUUUGGACAAUGGGCGCAAGCCUGAUCCAGCCAUGCCGCGUGCAGGAUGAAGGCCUUCGGGUUGUAAACUGCUUUUGUACGGAACGAAAAGCCUUCUUUUAAUACAGGAGGGUCAUGACGGUACCGUAAGAAUAAGCACCGGCUAACUACGUG